RNAcentral lists this unclassified non-coding RNA (1005 nucleotides) under Homarus americanus (American lobster). Its description in RNAcentral is "gastrula zinc finger protein XlCGF57.1-like, transcript variant X2". Lineage: Eukaryota; Metazoa; Arthropoda; Malacostraca; Decapoda; Nephropidae. The record is from RNAcentral.
UCGCCAAGAUGGAGAGUCUAGAGUUCCCCUCACUAAACAAUACUGCACACCUAACGCAACGUUCGCCAUUUCAUGUAUUUUUGUCAAGUUUUCUCACUAAAGCUUGAUUUAUCCGCCUCCUGAACAUUGUUGACAUUCAUGAGGAUUAAGUUAACUACCUGGUCAUCGUCUGUGUUUUCUCAACAACAAAGAUAACCUGCUAGAGGCCAUUCCAGGCUAAUAUAACCUGCCAGAGGCCACCCCAGGCUAAUAUAACCUGCCAGUGACUACCCCAGGCUAAUAUAACCUGCCAGUGACCACCCCAGGCUAAUAUAACCUGCCAGAGGCCACCCCAGGCAGAUAAAACCUGCCAGAGACUAUCCCAGGCUGAUAUAACCUGCCAAAUACUACCCCAGCUGAUAUAACCUGUCAAAGACUACCCCAGUUGAUAAAACCUGCCAAAGACUACCCCAGGCUGAUAUAACCUACAAGAGACUACUUCAGGCUGAUAACCUGCCAGAGAUUACCUCAGGUUGACAACACAGAGACUAACAGGUUGUGUCUUGUGCAUAAAAAGAACCUUUGGGAGAUGCAAGCAGUUGCUCUUGAUGAACUGCAGAAGUGGACCAAGUUGAGCAUAAGAUUGGGGACUACAUCCCAAGGUCCCUGUUCCAGUCCCCAGGUGUCUUAGUGCUCUCUCCUAUGGCAGCUUGCCUAAUACCAGUGGUGACAGUGUUUCUGACUUCAACCUACAACGUCGAAGAUUGUACACUUACCAUUUAUCAUCCCCACCACCAUAUGCUUCACCACGACCCAGCACUUUGUCAGCGGUGGAAACCAUUUGCGUCACUCCUAAUUUGCCUCUCUGCUUCAUGGAGUGACAGUAAUGACCGGCUGUCACAUAGAUGGUACAGGACAAAGCAGGCCAUCCUGUAUCAUCAUAUCACCAUUUGGUCUGCCUGCAUCACAAGCUCAAGACAACAGCAUCUGCUGGUGAGUAAAGUAUGUACAGUACAGUAGUAGUAU